Molecule: ribosomal RNA, 932 nt
Filed under: uncultured Pseudomonas sp.
Lineage: Bacteria; Pseudomonadati; Pseudomonadota; Gammaproteobacteria; Pseudomonadales; Pseudomonadaceae
Description: bacterial SSU rRNA
Rfam family: Bacterial small subunit ribosomal RNA
Source: RNAcentral
UGCGAGUCGAGCGGUAGAGAGAAGCUUGCUUCUCUUGAGAGCGGCGGACGGGUGAGUAAUGCCUAGGAAUCUGCCUGGUAGUGGGGGAUAACGUUCGGAAACGGACGCUGAUACCGCAUACGUCCUACGGGAGAAAGCAGGGGACCUUCGGGCCUUGCGCUAUCAGAUGAGCCUAGGUCGGAUUAGCUAGUUGGUGAGGUAAUGGCUCACCAAGGCGACGAUCCGUAACUGGUCUGAGAGGAUGAUCAGUCACACUGGAACUGAGACACGGUCCAGACUCCUACGGGAGGCAGCAGUGGGGAAUAUUGGACAAUGGGCGAAAGCCUGAUCCAGCCAUGCCGCGUGCGUGAAGAAGGUCUUCGGAUUGUAAAGCACUUUAAGUUGGGAGGAAGGGUUGUAGAUUAAUACUCUGCAAUUUUGACGUUACCGACAGAAUAAGCACCGGCUAACUCUGUGCCAGCAGCCGCGGUAAUACAGAGGGUGCAAGCGUUAAUCGGAAUUACUGGGCGUAAAGCGCGCGUAGGUGGUUUGUUAAGUUGGAUGUGAAAUCCCCGGGCUCAGCCUGGGAACUGCAUUCAAAACUGACUGACUAGAGUAUGGUAGAGGGUGGUGGAAUUUCCUGUGUAGCAGUGAAAUGCGUAGAUAUAGGAAGGAACACCAGUGGCGAAAGCGACCACCUGGACUCAUACUGACACUGAGGUGCGAACGCGUGGGGAGCAUACAGGAUUAGAUACCCUGGUAGUCCAUCCGUACACGAUGUCUACUAGCCGUUUGGAUCCUUGAGAUCUUAGUGGCGCAGCUAACGCAUUAUGUCGACCGCCUGGCGAGUACGGCCGCAAGGUUACAACUCAUAUGAAUUGACGGCGGCCCGCACAAGCGGUGGAGCAUGUGGUUUAUUUCAAUGCACGCCAAGACCUUCCAGGGCUUGACUG